CAGCCGCCGCGGUAAUACGUAGGUCCCGAGCGUUGUCCGGAUUUAUUGGGCGUAAAGCGAGCGCAGGCGGUUAGAUAAGUCUGAAGUUAAAGGCUGUGGCUUAACCAUAGUACGCUUUGGAAACUGUUUAACUUGAGUGCAAGAGGGGAGAGUGGAAUUCCAUGUGUAGCGGUGAAAUGCGUAGAUAUAUGGAGGAACACCGGUGGCAAAAGCGGCUCUCUGGCUUGUAACUGACGCUGAGGCUCGAAAGCGUGGGGAGCAAACAGGAUUAGAUACCCCCGUAGUCCCUGUCUCUUAUACA
Molecule: ribosomal RNA, 301 nt
Filed under: uncultured bacterium
Lineage: Bacteria
Description: partial 16S ribosomal RNA
Rfam family: Bacterial small subunit ribosomal RNA
Source: RNAcentral